CCUACGGGUGGCAGCAGUGAGGAAUAUUGGUCAAUGGCCGUAAGCCUGAACCAGCCAAGUCGCGUGAGGGAUGACGGUUCUAUGGUUUGUAAACCUCUUUUGUCAGGGAAUAAAGUGCGGGACGUGUCCUGUUUUGUAUGUACCUUAUGAAUAAGGAUCGGCUAACUCCGUGCCAGCAGCCGCGGUAAUACGGAGGAUGCGAGCGUUAUCCGGAUUUAUUGGGUUUAAAGGGUGCGUAGGCGGAAUGUAAAGUCAGCGGUAAAAUUUCGGGGCUCAACCCUGAAGUGCCGUUGAAACUGGGGGGCUUGAGUGAGUGAGAAGCAUGCGGAAUGCGUGGUGUAGCGGUGAAAUGCAUAGAUAUCACGCAGAACCCCGAUUGCGAAGGCAGCAUGCCAGGGCAUGACUGACGCUGAUGCACGAAAGCGUGGGGAUCGAACAGGAUUAGAUACCCGUGUAGUC
Molecule: ribosomal RNA, 459 nt
Filed under: uncultured bacterium
Lineage: Bacteria
Description: partial 16S ribosomal RNA
Rfam family: Bacterial small subunit ribosomal RNA
Source: RNAcentral